Molecule: long non-coding RNA, 2014 nt
Filed under: Phaseolus vulgaris (common bean)
Lineage: Eukaryota; Viridiplantae; Streptophyta; Magnoliopsida; Fabales; Fabaceae
Description: long non-coding RNA (PVUL_LNC001983)
Source: RNAcentral
UAAUAUUAUAGAUAGAUAAAUCACAGAGAACUUUCAUUAAUUAAUUGUGUGUAUAUGUGUGUGUAUAUAUAUAUAUAUAUAUAUAUAUAUAUAUAUAUAUAUAUAUAUGAUCUGAUGAGUAUCACAUAUAACAAUGACAAAGGAAUUCCCUAUGUAAUUUAUAAAGAAAAAGCAGGGACAGUGACAAGGACAGAAAAUCAUUAGCCACAUAAGAGCCAAAUACUUCAAAUCACACAUAAAAACGAAAAGUGUUAGCUGAGAUGAUGGAAGUUUCUUAGUUUAUGAAGCUCUAAUUAUUAAUUAUUGUUAGGUUUAGAGUGGGAAGGUAGUGCCUCUUUAUGCCCUGGUCCAUCGGGGCUUGGACCACUGUUGUCCAUUACAAUAAGUUUCCGAACCAUCUUCUUCUCUCCAUCUCCCACAUUCAAGCUUCUCAGAACUGUGUUUGACAACUCCACAAUGCUUCUCCUUGCUUCUUCAUCAGCAUCUGCAUGCACCACUAGAGUGUUAAGUGGUCGUGCCGUCGCAUGUUGGAUGUUCAGCCACACCACGAUAACAAUGAAGGCUAAGGAUUGGAGUUUUCCAGCCAUGACAGGGAGCUAGAUGCAGCAGCAAAUGAAUGGAAUUAUUAAUCUUUGAAGGUGAAUAUGAUUUUGUUAGUUUUGUUGUGAAUAGAGUACCAUAGUGCACUUCUUUUUAUAGUGUUUCUUCCAAUGCACUGUUCACUGAUAACAUAGUAUCAUGAUGUCCAUAAACUAUAGUGCCUGACAUGACAUCUUGCAUUACCCUAAUAUUUCCCCUCCUAGUUUUGAACUCCAUAAGAAACGAAGGAGCAAGUAAACUUUUGAACGAAUACUUGUAGAAAAAUAAAAUUAAUUAAGUUUUGUUUCAUAUUUAAAAUCAACUUCUCUAUAUAUUUAUGUUAUAUGAUACUUUUUAUAAAUUAAUAUAAGUAAAUUAAUCUUAAUUUAUAUUAGAAAGGGAGAUUAAUCAAUUCUAAGGUCAAAUUUGUACUCACUUAUAUAUUAUGAAUUGACUUUAUCUCUCAUUGAUUGCACCUUCUUACAUCGAGAUUGUAUCGAGAUUGUAGUGUGAGUGACAUAAUAGACCUAACAAACUCAUGUUAUAAUAGACUCUGAAUGACUUGAUGCUAUAUUGAGAACUGAAUUUUAAGUUUCACUUAAACUUACAAAACUGAUUUGUAAAACGAUAUUUUUAACCUUAUACCCACUUAUAUAAUAUGGAUUAAUCUUUUCUCUAAUCAAUUUGAGAUGUUCAAUAACUUACUGGAAAAAUUUUAAUUUAUUUUGUUUUGUGGAUAACAAAACGUAUACGAAUGGACUUGAUUUGUUAGCAUAGUUUAUGAUUGCAGCUUCACUGACAAAGGAGAUGAAGUAUAGUUUCAAGAAACAACCAAGUUAUAAUAGGAAAUGUAAGGAAAAUGUUAGUUCUAGUAUCCCAGAUUUGGAAAAAAAGUUAAUUUUGGAAUUACACAGUGGCAUUGGAGGGCAAUGACUUGUGGAGGAGGAACAAAACUUGUUGAAAUGCAAGUAAAAUGGACAAACAACGUCUACAUUCAUGCAUGUAAGUCAUGAUGAUGGAGGAGGAGGAAUAAUGCACUUAACACCUUUUAAUUCCAGUAACAUGAACUACCUCCUUUUUCUUUUUCUAUUAUGACCAUAUAAACCACUACUUUUGGUCCAUCACCACCCUCAAACAAUUUUUGUAUCAAUAUUUGUUUAACUUAUAUCUACAUGAAUUUUAAUUUAUAUAUUAGAUCAUUUUCUUCUCCCCAUAAAAAGUAGUAGUGGGGAAUUUAUGAACUCUAUUCGUUGUAUCUUCUUUUUACUUUCAUAUGCUUUGACUACCAAUUUCCAACUUCUUCAAACCUUUGGAAUUUACGUAGUUUAUGGUUCCUUUUGGGUUUAGGUCAACUACAAGUACAACACGCAAGUUCAUCCAUGAAAUUGAGUUUCAGGGGAAACAUCUUGUUUUGCUUUCAAGGAAGAGAGUAAAU